UGACCUCAGUGAGCUCAAAUUCUC
This 24-nucleotide microRNA is filed under the name Canis lupus familiaris (dog). RNAcentral describes it as "cfa-miR-8851". Lineage: Eukaryota; Metazoa; Chordata; Mammalia; Carnivora; Canidae. The record is from miRBase by way of RNAcentral.